RNAcentral lists this long non-coding RNA (2054 nucleotides) under Marmota monax (woodchuck). The record is from RNAcentral. Lineage: Eukaryota; Metazoa; Chordata; Mammalia; Rodentia; Sciuridae.
AAGCUGCUCUCCCUCACAGGCCUGGACCUUGCAUAUUGUCUUCUAAUCACAAUGAGGGCCGAAUUUCAGAACAAAGAGAACCAGAGACGUGCCAAAGAAUUUACUGGAUUUUUUAUUCCUGAUCUAUAAUAAUGCUUUGCAGUUUCCUGAUAGUUUUCUACUGCUUUCUGCUUUCUACCUGCAGAUGGCGCUCUCUUCAUCAGAUCCAAACCACUCUGGACCUGGCAGGUGCAAGUGAGGAGGACCCAGCAGAAUGGGUCAUAACCCACAGCCAUACAAUGGUGACUCUCUCCUAGGGUAUCUAGGGUAUCUGUCAUCUCUGUCUCACUCCAAACCACAACCAAGUUUAGGGUUAUGGAACUAGGCAGUGUCUCACCUCAUCACUUUAUAAGGCAUAGAGGAAAACAUUUAUAGUAGAAAUUUUAGCUGGCCAUUUCUGGAUCUUUCAAGGAUUUAUUUAUCAGCAAUGUGUCUUGCCACUUGAGGUCUGCUUAUUGCUUCUGGGUGAACAGGGAAGGAGCCAUCAGAAUCAGGGUGGCAAGUCUUGAAACCAAGGAAAGAAAAUUCUAGAAGGAACAAACUAUUGAGAAUCAUUAGGCCCUGCAGUAUUUUAUCUUCUAAGAUAUUUUCAUCCUGUUCACUUGAACCUUCCUGAAGUGUGUUAAUUCUCUCUCGGUUCUCUGUCUCCUUUGGUGGCUGCCUCCUGAAACUUCCUUCCGAGAAGCAAGUGUCCCCUUAUGGCCUGGGGAAAGAGGGCAUUCUAACACCUCGAGCAGACAGGUCACAUCACUGUUCCUGGGUUGUCUUUCCACUUCACAGAUUAUAUUAGUAUAACUUAUGUCUGCAUUUUGGUAUUGACGCUCCCUUUGCCCACUUCACCUAAAUUCCCCUUUUAGCUUCUCUACAAUGGAGAGCAUUGGAGGGAAAGCAUAUGUAAAUGGAGGAAAAGGACUGUUUUUCUGUCUGACCUGAGUUGGUGACUUGUGAGCACCUCAUGCCCACCCCUCCACCUCACUGUGCUCCUCAAACUCCUUGCUCUGUUCUUCCAAAAUAGGAUGUGGCCAUAGGCCAAGGAAGAAGCACUCCUAGGAGCUCUGCCCUUUGAGGGACUCAGUUAUACAAUGUCUUAUUCCCUAGGCACAAGUCUUCUCCAGGAGCUUUAUCUUCUUCAAACCUCUGUAAGGCUAGUCUCCAACACCUCUCAAUCCUGCCAGUGCAUUAAUCCCUAGUGGUAACUUUGCCUAAAUAGGAGUAAUGUAGAUUCAUUAAUAUUAUAGUUGGGGGGAGUUAGAGGGUGGCUUCUGCAGAAGAGUCCAGAGUGGACUUGAUGUUUUCCAAAAUUGCGUAAGGUGAAGAGUAAAGCAGAAUAAAGAUCUUUCUUGCUCAUCCAAUGAGAUCAUCAUUGAGUCAAACACAGAGGCAUAAAUCUCAAGAGAAGCAUUAACUCUUAUAGCACUAUCCAGAUCAUAUCUAAAAAGAAAAACAUACAGCAUUUUAUUAACACAUCAUAUCAUACAGGGUCUCCACCAGUGACAUGCUAUUAAAUAUUGAAUAAUCAGCUCUCUGGAAAAAAAAAAGUUUGCACAUGUGUAUAUGUCCAUUAUGAAUUUUAAUGAUAUAAUGAUUGUAUUGCACAUAAUUAUAAAUAAUAAUAGGUAUAUAAUACUUGAUUAUAAUUUCAAAAUAGUAAAUUAAUUCUCAAAGAAUGUUUCAAAGAUUUUUGCCAAACUUAUCUGUUUGCAAUUGAUAAUUAAGUGUAGUUCUGACACUUGUACUUACAUUAAUAGGUAAGAUGAGGCUGUCUCUCCCUCUGGGAAUGGCCCAUGUUCUUCCUUGAAUAUGCAUUCCUUGCUUUAUCCCCAAAGCUUCUCACUCUCAAGAUGGCUGGCGUUCUCCCUCAAAUAUGUAUUUUGUACUUGACCCCAGAAGACAUCUCUCCCUUGAGAUAGCCUGAGUUCUCCCUUGAACGUGUAUUUGCUUUCCUAAAUAAAUCUGUUGUGUCUCUGGAAAAAGUAGAUAAAAUAAAAAUGAAACAAUGAAGACAUGCAUAAGAA